Bufo gargarizans (Asiatic toad) is the source of this 923-nucleotide long non-coding RNA. RefSeq lists it as uncharacterized. The transcript is spliced from 3 exons. Lineage: Eukaryota; Metazoa; Chordata; Amphibia; Anura; Bufonidae. The record is from RefSeq and is a predicted model, not a curated record.
AUCGCUUUUAUCACGUGGUGAGUGCAGUGAUGUCAGAGCAGGUCCUGCUGAACGAAGAUAGAAGGAUCACGUGGUGAGUGCAGUGAUGUCAGCGCAGAUAGAAGGAUCACGUGGUGAGUGCAGUGAUGUCAGCGCAGAUAGAAGGAUCACGUGGUCCUGAAAAAAGAAGGAAGAAGAUGAUGCCGGCUGCGCGAACAACAGGAUGGGAUACAGUAUAGUAAAAAAGCACAAAACAAGAAUAUGAAAAGCCAAGAGAACAUAAGAAUAUCACAAUAAUGUGCUGAAAUAAAACCAUCACACGGGGCCAUCGCACUACCACCAGAAUUAUGUCAUCAUCUGGUCCUCAAAUAAUACUGCUGGAAGCCGACCCAAUUAUAUCAAUAUAAUAUCAUUAAAACCUACACAGUCUGACUAAAACCAGUAAGUGGUACCAUAAAAGCGGGGAGGCUUUUCUUCAGCAGGGAAGCUGGUCAGAGGUCAUAAGGAAGAUGGAUGGAGAUAAAUACAGGACAAUCCUAGAGGAAAACCUGGUAGAGGCUGCAAAAGACUUGAGACUGGGGCGGAGGUUCACCUUCCAGCAGGACAACCACCCUCAACAUCCAGCUAGAGCUACAAUGGAAGGGUUUAGAUCAGAGCAUAUUCAUGUGUUAGAACGGCCCAGUGACAGUCCAGACCUAAAUUCCAUUGAGACCUUAAAAUCCCUGUUCACAGACGCUCUCCAUCCAAUCUGACUGAGCGCGAGCUCUUCUGCAAAGAAGAAUGGGCAAAAUUUUCGGCUUCUAGAUGUACAAUGCUGGUAGAGACCGACCCCAAAAGACUUGCAACUAUAAUCGCAGUGAAAGGUGGUCCUACAAAAUAGUGGCUCCGGGGGGCUGAAUACAAAUGCAUGUAACAUUGUCCCGAUUUUUAUUUAUUAAAUAUGU